AUGCCCAUCUUCUGCUAUAUGAGGUCUUUCGUCCAAGAAAAAAAAAUCAGAAGCAAGCUCACGGGACGAAACUCUGCCGCCACGAGGCGGAACCUUGGCGGAACCAAUCUAGGGCUCCGGCGGAGCUGUUCUGCCGGGGAAACUUCCCUCCGGGAGGGGGAAAUCAUCGCCAUCGUCACCACCAACGAUCCUCUCAUCGGGAGGGGGGUCAAUCUCCAUCAACAUCUUCACCAGCACCAUCUCAUCUCAAACCCUAGUUCAUCUCUUGUAUCUAAUGUUUUUAUCCAUACCUUAGAUUGGUACCUGUGGGUUGCUAGUAGUGUUAAUUACUCCUUUUAG
Molecule: ribosomal RNA, 339 nt
Filed under: Triticum aestivum (bread wheat)
Lineage: Eukaryota; Viridiplantae; Streptophyta; Magnoliopsida; Poales; Poaceae
Description: partial small subunit ribosomal RNA
Source: RNAcentral